This 432-nucleotide ribosomal RNA is filed under the name uncultured bacterium. RNAcentral's name for it is "partial 16S ribosomal RNA". It matches the Rfam family "Bacterial small subunit ribosomal RNA", at positions 29 to 506 of the family's 1533-position model. The record is from RNAcentral.
AACGAACGCUGGCGGCAUGCCUAACACAUGCAAGUCGAACGAGACCUUCGGGUCUAGUGGCGCACGGGUGCGUAACGCGUGGGAACCUGCCCUUAGGUUCGGAAUAACUCACCGAAAGGGGUGCUAAUACCGGAUAAUGUCAUCGGACCAAAGAUUUCGCGCCUGUGGAUGGGCCUGCGUUGGAUUCGCUAGUUGGUAGGGUAAAAGCCUACCAAGGCGACGAUCCAUAGCUGGUCUGAGAGGAUGAUCAGCCACACUGGGACUGGGACACGGCCCAGACGCCUGCGAGAGGCAGCGGUUGGGAAUAAUGGACAGGGGGCGAAAGCCUGAUCCAGCAAGGCCGCGUGAGUGAUGAAGGCCUUAGGGUUGUAAAGCUCUUUUACCCGAGAUGAUAAUGACAGUACCGGUAGAAUAAGCCCCGGCUAAUUCCGU